AGGACGAACGCUGGCGGCGUGCUUAACACAUGCAAGUCGAACGGUGAGCCAGGGCUUGCCCUGGGGAUCAGUGGCGAACGGGUGAGUAACACGUGACCAACCUGCCCUUGGCUCUGGGAUAACCCCGGGAAACCGGAGCUAAUACCGGAUACGAGUCCGUAUGGCAUCACACGGACUGGAAAGUUUUUUGGCCAAGGAUGGGGUCGCGGCCUAUCAGCUUGUUGGUGGGGUAAUGGCCUACCAAGGCGACGACGGGUA
Molecule: ribosomal RNA, 258 nt
Filed under: uncultured bacterium
Lineage: Bacteria
Description: partial small subunit ribosomal RNA
Rfam family: Bacterial small subunit ribosomal RNA
Source: RNAcentral